Molecule: ribosomal RNA, 1704 nt
Filed under: Salmonella enterica
Lineage: Bacteria; Pseudomonadati; Pseudomonadota; Gammaproteobacteria; Enterobacterales; Enterobacteriaceae
Description: partial 23S ribosomal RNA
Rfam family: Bacterial large subunit ribosomal RNA
Source: RNAcentral
CUGCGGCAGCGAACGUAUCACUUAAAGCGAUUCAGCGGAUGACGAUUGACGGAGCGAAGCGACGUCAAAGCGUAUACAAAGUCGAGUCGGUUUAAGGAUACGUUCGUUGGGUAGGGGAGCGUUCUGUAAGCCUGCGAAGGUGGCCUGUGAGGGUUGCUGGAGGUAUCAGAAGUGCGAAUGCUGACAUAAGUAACGAUAAAGCGGGUGAAAAGCCCGCUCGCCGGAAGACCAAGGGUUCCUGUCCAACGUUAAUCGGGGCAGGGUGAGUCGACCCCUAAGGCGAGGCCGAAAGGCGUAGUCGAUGGGAAACGGGUUAAUAUUCCCGUACUUGGUGUUACUGCGAAGGGGGGACGGAGAAGGCUAUGUUGGCCGGGCGACGGUUGUCCCGGUUUAAGCGUGUAGGUGUGUGUUCCAGGUAAAUCCGGUUCACUUUAACACUGAGGCGUGACGACGAGGCACUACGGUGCUGAAGCAACAAAUGCCCUGCUUCCAGGAAAAGCCUCUAAGCAUCAGGUAACAUCAAAUCGUACCCCAAACCGACACAGGUGGUCAGGUAGAGAAUACCAAGGCGCUUGAGAGAACUCGGGUGAAGGAACUAGGCAAAAUGGUGCCGUAACUUCGGGAGAAGGCACGCUGACAUGUAGGUGAAGUGAUUUACUCAUGGAGCUGAAGUCAGUCGAAGAUACCAGCUGGCUGCAACUGUUUAUUAAAAACACAGCACUGUGCAAACACGAAAGUGGACGUAUACGGUGUGACGCCUGCCCGGUGCCGGAAGGUUAAUUGAUGGGGUCAGCGCAAGCGAAGCUCCUGAUCGAAGCCCCGGUAAACGGCGGCCGUAACUAUAACGGUCCUAAGGUAGCGAAAUUCCUUGUCGGGUAAGUUCCGACCUGCACGAAUGGCGUAAUGAUGGCCAGGCUGUCUCCACCCGAGACUCAGUGAAAUUGAACUCGCUGUGAAGAUGCAGUGUACCCGCGGCAAGACGGAAAGACCCCGUGAACCUUUACUAUAGCUUGACACUGAACAUUGAGCCUUGAUGUGUAGGAUAGGUGGGAGGCUUUGAAGUGUGGACGCCAGUCUGCAUGGAGCCGACCUUGAAAUACCACCCUUUAAUGUUUGAUGUUCUAACGUGGACCCGUAAUCCGGGUUGCGGACAGUGUCUGGUGGGUAGUUUGACUGGGGCGGUCUCCUCCUAAAGAGUAACGGAGGAGCACGAAGGUUGGCUAAUCCUGGUCGGACAUCAGGAGGUUAGUGCAAUGGCAUAAGCCAGCUUGACUGCGAGCGUGACGGCGCGAGCAGGUGCGAAAGCAGGUCAUAGUGAUCCGGUGGUUCUGAAUGGAAGGGCCAUCGCUCAACGGAUAAAAGGUACUCCGGGGAUAACAGGCUGAUACCGCCCAAGAGUUCAUAUCGACGGCGGUGUUUGGCACCUCGAUGUCGGCUCAUCACAUCCUGGGGCUGAAGUAGGUCCCAAGGGUAUGGCUGUUCGCCAUUUAAAGUGGUACGCGAGCUGGGUUUAGAACGUCGUGAGACAGUUCGGUCCCUAUCUGCCGUGGGCGCUGGAGAACUGAGGGGGGCUGCUCCUAGUACGAGAGGACCGGAGUGGACGCAUCACUGGUGUUCGGGUUGUCAUGCCAAUGGCACUGCCCGGUAGCUAAAUGCGGAAGAGAUAAGUGCUGAAAGCAUCUAAGCACGAAACUUGCCCCGAGA